UACGAAGGGGGCUAGCGUUGUUCGGAUUUACUGGGCGUAAAGCGCACGUAGGCGGAUUGUUAAGUCAGGGGUGAAAUCCUGGAGCUCAACUCCAGAACUGCCUUUGAUACUGAAGAUCUUGAGUUCGGGAGAGGUGAGUGGAACUGCGAGUGUAGAGGUGAAAUUCGUAGAUAUUCGCAAGAACACCAGUGGCGAAGGCGGCUCACUGGUCCGGUACUGACGCUGAGGUGCGAAAGCGUGGGGGAGCAAACAGG
This 254-nucleotide ribosomal RNA is filed under the name uncultured bacterium. RNAcentral's name for it is "partial 16S ribosomal RNA". It matches the Rfam family "Bacterial small subunit ribosomal RNA", at positions 524 to 776 of the family's 1533-position model. The record is from RNAcentral.